Molecule: transfer RNA, 65 nt
Filed under: Limbodessus palmulaoides
Lineage: Eukaryota; Metazoa; Arthropoda; Insecta; Coleoptera; Dytiscidae
Description: tRNA-Leu
Source: RNAcentral
UUUAAUAUGGCAGAUUAGUGCAAUGAAUUUAAGCUUCAUAUAUAAAGUAAAUACUUUUAUUAAAA